AACCGCCGUGUACGGAACCGUACGCACGGUGGUGUGAGAGGACGGCGGGUGUGAACCCGCCUCCUACUCGAU
RNAcentral lists this non-coding RNA (72 nucleotides) under Pseudomonas sp. Snoq117.2. Lineage: Bacteria; Pseudomonadati; Pseudomonadota; Gammaproteobacteria; Pseudomonadales; Pseudomonadaceae. RNAcentral also lists the same sequence under 1 other name. The record is from RNAcentral.